GUGAUGGACCUGGUCAGCCUCAACCUAGAAUGGCAUUUACUAGUGAUGCUUUGUUAAUACGUGGAUGUGGAAGAACGGAUUUUUAGGGUGGAAGUUCUAAGCAGCUAUAUGAAUCGGUCCACUCACAGGCAAGAACAUACAAUUCUACCAAUUGAAAGACGAAGAACUCAUAUGCAUCAUGUUCUUGAUUUUUCUUUAAAAUGCAACUGAAUAUCUUUUGGUUAUCAUCUGUCUAGAUCUUUACAUUGCCAAAGGACACGUUCAUCUAUCAUGUUCAUGAUUACAAAGGUUUCACGCUUAGCAGACUUUUUUUGGGCAAUUUACAUACCGAAUGUAGGUUCAACCAAUGGUUUUCAGGUUAGCACUGUGGGAGAAGAGAUGCUAUAUAACCCUCACCUCAGAAAAGAUGAGGGACGUUAAUAUCAUUCUUUAUGCUAGAGUUGGAAAAUAUGUGCAUAACUAGGCUACUGCCCGCGUGAACUAUUUACUAAAUAAUUAUUUGUGGCAGAGUCUGAUAAAGAACAUUGUAAUGUACUCAAGAGGGCUUUAAAUAUAAGUUAAAAAAUGCUGCUGCUUAAUAUUCACUUGCAGUCGUUGAAGAAGAGAACGCGAUUUUGAUGGAGUUUGAUAAAGAACUAAAGUGCGAAAAACUGAGGUCUCUGCUCGGUGUAAUAAUGUCGGUUCUUGAUAUAUGUUAAUCAAAUGCUGAGAAGAAAGUGGCUGAUAAGGAAUUGACGAACGGUUCUAGCAAUGAUACAAGCAAAUCCAGGUCAUGGACGCGAGGAUCCUAUGACCCGGUUUAUCACCCACGUUAUAAUUUAAAAAAAAACACGAUUCUUAUUGAUUUGGUGUUCACUAUCCCAUUCACAGGUUCUUUUUUCCAAUCGCCUCCUGAUGUAUUGCAAACUACUAAUAGCACAUCACCUCCAAACCAAGUUCGUUGUUUAUCGAUUUCUAAAAUGAUUAUGGUCGGUUCUUAUUGGUUUUGUUUGGGUUUUAUUCUCGAUUUUAAAUCCGUCAGUUAAUGGAGUCUUAGUUGUUCUGUCGGUUCUAUUUUCCUUUAAAGAUUUUUUGUGUGUGUGUGUAUGGGGGGGGUGAUGUUUGAUUUGCAUAGAUCUGAAGUAAAAGAUGUCUCUCUUUCAUAAUCUUGAUUCUUGAAGUUGCCAUGUACAAGCCCUGGGUGGAGGAAAAUAAAACUUAGAUUGUAAGUGUGCCUUUUAAAAGGGGGGGGGGAGGGUUGUAAAUGUGUGGCUGCUUCUCCAGCUUAACAUGAUUGGUAAUUACACAUUUGGUUAGCGGUUUGUGAGCUCUAUCAACAAACACAUAUAUAUUGACCGGUGAUGAUUGUUCAGGGACAUCAAUUCGCAUGAGUAAUGGUGUUCAUACCACACACCCAAACAGUCUUUGUUAAGCUCUAACAACUUAUUUUAUUCAUUAAUUUUUUUUGCAUAAGGGGGUGCUCGAAUUGUUUAUUUAAAGAGGAAAAGUGGAAGCGCAAUCUCUGAAAAUGAAAACAACAUUGUGACAAAGUCUGAUAAAGAACACUGGAGUGUAGUCAAGACUGUUUUGGAUACAUGUGAAUGGAAUGCUGAGAAGAAAGUGGUUGAUAAGAAGAGGAAUACACAUGAAUGGAAUGUGGAGAAGAAAAUGGUUAAUAAGAAGAGGAAUACACAUGAAUGGGAUAGAAGCUCAAUCGUUGUAGUUGAAAACAACAUUGUGACGGAGUCUGAUAAAGGUAAUAUGUACAUAUCGAUGAUUAGCAAGAUGUACAUAUCGAUGAUUAGCAAGAUGUGCCUACGGUAAGAACAUUAAUCAUAGAGACUAGCUUGGUGAAAAGACUGAAUGGACUAUUAUUCAAACUUAAGUCGCAAUAAGGAGAUAGAAGGAAAGGAAAUGUAAGCCCGAUACACAUUUUUUGUAUGCUUAUGACAUUGAUAUUUAGUUAUAGCGGUUGUGUUAACUGAUCAACAUUAGUAGCACAUUUUAUAUUUCAUCAACUUUAAAAUACUUUAGUUGUAAUUAUUAAAGUUACUUCAGUUGAAUAUUUGAUGUUAACAAAGGUGUUCGUGAUUC
Helianthus annuus (common sunflower) is the source of this 2073-nucleotide long non-coding RNA. RefSeq lists it as uncharacterized. The record is from RefSeq and is a predicted model, not a curated record. The transcript has 6 exons. NCBI's taxonomy places the organism in Eukaryota, Viridiplantae, Streptophyta, Magnoliopsida, Asterales, Asteraceae.